This 7873-nucleotide long non-coding RNA is filed under the name Triticum aestivum (bread wheat). RNAcentral describes it as "long non-coding RNA (TAES_LNC003101)". Lineage: Eukaryota; Viridiplantae; Streptophyta; Magnoliopsida; Poales; Poaceae. The record is from RNAcentral.
CAUGUUGCUCUAGCUGUAUUAUGUUCAUCCUUGCUAAGUAACCUGUAAAUGCCAUGCUGUUGUUUGUCUUGAUUGCUUUGGUUGCUGUGAGCUUUCAAGUACAUUCAAUGUACUGACCUGGCGUGUCAUGCCAGUUUGCAGGUCAUGCCUUGUUUGCUUGCUUGUUUGCUGAGUAUCUUGAUUUUUUGAGCUAGGAUAAACGUUCUAGCUAGAGUCCUAUGGAGUGGAGUCCAUUGUCGUUGUCGCUGUUCCGCUGCUAGAAUUUAUUCCACUGCUAUGAGUUGUUCUGCUGCUUGCAUAGAGCAACCUUGGCAGGCGUAGUGUCGCCGUGUCAAUGUAAUGCCUUUGUAUCCAUAUCGAUUGUAAUAAAGAGCUCAUUUGUUCUAUGCCAAGCAGUGUCGUAUUCCCUAGACUUAUCUCGAUCUUUGGGCUGGAAUACAUGGCAUUCCGGUCUCUCUGAGCCGGGGUUCCACAAGGCUUGGUAUCAGAGCAGGUCUGGCUGUAGAGCAUCGUAGUCCGCACGAACAUUAGAAAACGAUAGUAUAGGGUCUAGUUGUUUAUCUUUGCCUGCUGCAUUUGAUUGUUGCAUUUGUUUGCCGCAUAUCAUGCAUGUAGGUUUAUUUCCUUACCCCUAACCGUUUAUUUCGUGCGUAUAGAUGGCUGGUGCCUCGAGAGAGUUCAACACCAUCCCCAGUGAUCUCAAUGCUGUUCCCAUUGCCUUCAGCACCGCCCCUGCACCUCUCAGCUUCACCUCCCUACUUUGUGAAAUGUGGUGCAGUCUCUAUCCCAACGGAGAUCCACCCAGUUAUCAAGUCUUCCAGUUUCAAAUUGGAGGAAGCAUCCUGGAAUUCGUUUCUCAUGUUCAUUUGUUAGCCGCGAUUCCUGUCGCUAGGCAUACCUACAAUUUCCACGGUGGUUAUGGUGCUACUCCUGAGCGUGCCGUUCAGCUAGCCGCCAUGGCGGGAGUCACGGGUCUUCAUCAUCAUGAGAGUAUGGCGCAAGAGAACCGUGCUUAUCAGUACUAUCCUACCAUCGUCGAGAAUCCUAAGAGGAUCAGCUUCCCUUCUGUUCAUCCUUAGGAUGAUGCAGCUAUCUUCGCCAUGUCCCAGUACAUGAUGGUCGAGUGCAUUCUUAUUUCUAAGUUAGUCCGAGAUGCCACCAGAGCUAGGAGACUGCUUGGCUCUACUCUAACCCAAUCUCAGUCGGCUUCUCCACCGAUCCCUCCACCAAAUUCCACCAGAGUUUCGGAGUCAGCCUCUACACUCGCCACUCCCUUACCUUCUUCAUCAGCCCCCGAGUGUUUGUUCAAGCGUAAGGCGUAGGCACUCGCGUAGUGCAUGUUGCAUAUGUUGUAGUAUCAUGCUUGUGUGUGACUGGGUGGAGUAGUUAUGUAACUUGUAUGAUGUGUGCUUUGUUGCAAUCGAUCGUUUCUUGUGCUUCUUUAUUUGAAUCUUUGGUGUUACCCUGUUUUUCCCCUUAUGGAAAUUGCUCAUCAACCGACACCGGACCAAAAGAAGCCAUGGGAAAUAUAUUUAUACUCAGUAAGCUUAGCUAAACACAAUGAGAUAGUCAGCUGACAGCACCGUAUUGCAGACAUCCGGUCUGAAUACCAAUGAUAUCCUACUCAGACUAUCAGCAUCAGGUACCCGUCAAAGAGGCAUUCUCAUUGCAGCAAUGAUUAACCUAGCAGGAGAACAAAGUUGGGUCCAAAGACAACCAAACAUUUCAAGUCAAAAGCAUGGGUUGAUUCUGUUAUGGGUAAGAUUCGACACAUGCUACACCCAGAAGACAGUCCAAAUGUGCGAUGAAUUUAGCAAGAAGGACAGUCAGGCAAUAUUUCUCAUACGAGUAAUCUCCAGAAUAUAUAUAUGUAUGGCUUUUAGUUGGCAAAGAAAGAUAAACCAGCAAAGCGUACGAGGCAAGUUUUCUCAAUCUUCCUCAGUAAGGUAUGAAUGACUUCCCGUGCAAGGUAUUCGGUCUUCUUCAGCAAGACACCACAAAAGAUUUCGGCAUAAGGUACCGAGUCUUCCCUAGCAAGUCACUAAGGGGGAAGAUUCUGAGGUACGGUACCUAAUCUUCUUCAACAAGCUGUCUGACGAAAGCUUCCACCACAAGCCAUCCAAUCCUCCUCAGCACGAUACUCUCGAUGGCUUCCAACAUAAGCUGCCUCAAUUUCUUCAGUACGACACUGGCGCAAGAUAUUACAUAAUGAGUUGGCGAACAAGUCUCAGACCCAUAACGGAUUUGUGAAAAAGCAAGAACUCAGACAGAACACAAGUACACCUUGGGAAUCGGAUAUUCCUAUAUAAAGUGAGCAUGUUGCCAAGUUCAUACAAGACCCUCGUACAAGGAAUAAUUCAAAGUAAGCAUCCGACAACCUCACCGGUUAUGCGAGAGAAAGAAAGCCAGUGGGUGACGCAAGAACUGACAAGCCUUAAAGAAAGGCAACAUUAGGACAACUAUCUUGACAAUGGUUAUCAAGGUUAGCCUCCUCACACCCGACAGAGUGAUAUUAUUAACCGUUGUCACUAUCUGAUUAACAUCAACAAUAAGCUUCAUACAAGCACAUGUGAACCUGGCAAAUAUCCCGAGACUCGAGACAUGAACAGGGCCAAGGUAUGAUUUCCAAAUAUUGCAUAUGAUAGCACCAACGGUCACACGAAGAAUCAAUAGUAUAUAUACGGCAACGCUCUUGCAAAUAAAGGAUCCAGACCAAUAAAACAAUAAUGAAGGAGCAAGAUCAGCAAUAAAAGUAUGAUCGUGGUUGCAUGACCAACAGGGCACAGAUACCCCGGGCAGUUUGAGUCAGUAUCGAUCACCAUGAAGAUACACCUAAGGGGUCUACUCCGUCUUGGUAAGGACCUCAUAGCAAGGUAACCUGCUCAACCAACUAUAUGUGAUCAGUAUUGUCAGUAUCAAAUAUCCAAGCCUGUCAUGUCAGAACACAAACCAACUCAAUAGAUCAACUCCAGCAACUGUGUUAUGGCAACACACGGCUUACCAUCCACAUAAAUACACUGAUAGAAUGAGUAAUCCAGAUGUUGAACGACAGUCUCACAGCGUGUGCCCUCACUUAUGGCAAUUGAUUAAAGAAUAGCCUGUCGAGGACAAGAUUCUUUUGCCAAAAACACCACCAGUGAAGUCUGUGAAUGUUAUCGCCACAAGGUGAUACACUUUUCUAUGAAGCCACUCAAGAUCAUUCAGAAAUUCUUGCGAGAAGUCAGAAUCCAUUGGGAGAACAUGUAUGAUUCACAUCACUAUUUUGAACUCGGAGGACAUGCACAUAUUUGAGCAACCCGAUACCUGGAUAGAAGAUAUUUCUUGUUCCCCGAGGAGAUGUACUCCGUGGAGUAUUCUCGGUAAUGGAUACAAGAAUAAUACUUCCAUCAAGAAUCAUUAGUGAGAAGGACACGUAUGACACAUAUGAAAGAAAAUUGGAGCCAGUGUGAACCUAAGCAUAUGAGGUAAGUCAAAAUGUCAGGUGUGGUGAAGCAGACUACCCCGAGCAAGACUGUCAGUCAGAUGAAAUUUAAUGGGAACAUAAUAUAAAGGAAAACCCAAGUUGGGAACGGUUCCCUUGAGUCAGAUAUAUUGACUUCAUCCCCGAGGAACCAAAUCUCGAGGACGAGAUUUCUUUAAGGGGGAAGGUUUCUAACAUCCUGGAUUUUGGCUUUUUCUUUUUCUUUUGAUUUUUUUGAGCUAUUGUUUUGAUUUGUUUUUUCGUGGCUCUGUGAUCCUAAAACUUGGGAAGAUCAUGCCUUCCUAGGUUUCAUAGUGGCUUGUCAUCCUCAAAAUCAUCCCUAGCUCAUGUCAUUUUCAUCCUAGCCCAAAUCCCAAUAUUCUUUUAUUAGGAAUAUUCCUCUUCUAUUAAAGGAAUAACCCUAUUAGCCCUAGGUUGUGAAGCAACCUAUAUUUUUGUCACUCUAAAAAUUCCCAAAUAAUUCCCAUAAAUUGUUUGGGUCAUAUAUUCCUCAAAUAUGGCAAAACCUUUCAUUGCCAUGUUAAAAAAUAAUCCUCAAAUAAUUCUUUUCCUAUUCUGCCCUAAAUAGCACUUUGUGAAGGAAGUGCUAUUUACUUUUUCUUGAUUGACCCCAAACUUUUUGGACACUUUUUCCUGUCCAUAUCAUUGCCUCAUGACAAGAUUCAACUCAAUUUUCCUAGUAAAUAUUCUUGAGAAAUUUUCCAAUGUUUUUGUCCAGAAAGGAACUUUGUGAAGAAGGUAAAAGCUAGGAAUAUUCAAAUGAGUUGAAACUUUGCCAAAUCCUUCAUAUGAUCAAACUAUAGUUCUCCUCCAAAUUUGAGCUCAUGAAACCUCUCCAUGUGAGCUCAACAUCAAUUCUUGGUUUCUUGUCAGAAUUUCAGUUUGUGAAGCAACUAUAUUUUAUAUUGCUUCAUUAUGGCUUGACAUUUACCAGGCAAUUCUCAUGUCCAUAUCAACUCUCUCCAUAAAAUUUGGGCUCAUUCCAUCUAGCCAUUUGCCUUGUGCAUUUUUUCUAAGUUUUUGUCCAGAUUGAAGCUCUAUGAAGCAACUACCAUUUUGGUAUUUCCAAAUGGCAUGAAAUUUUUACAAAAGCUUCAUAUCAUCAAAUAACUCGUCUACACCAAAUUUGAGUUUAAUGCAAUCAUUUCUGUUGGUGCUACUUCAUCAUUUCCAAAUCUGCACAAUGUGGCACUUUGUACAACAAGUGCUAUCUAAACCCCUCCUCUUAAGCUGAUUUUUUUGUCAUCACCAUCAUCUUAGCAUGUAAUAACACCAUGCCAAAGACCAGAGUCUAGUCUCUCUUGGAUCUUCCUCACCACAGCACAAAGAGGUUGCUGUUCAUCUGCAUUGGAGCCAAGUGCUAAUCUCUUCUUUGCCCCUGGACUCAUUUAUUUCUUCAUUUGAACUAAGGGUAGCAGGGCCCUUCUGCUAGACAAAGUUUGGCAACCCAGAGCACGAGCAAUUGUUGUGUGCACGCGGUGAUCACGCUUGCGUCAUGCAACAACAAGCUCUGGCUCGUUUCGGCCACUGUUCUCGCCCGCUCCCUUUGCGUCUGGACGUCCCUCCAUGUCUAGUAGCUCCCCCAUGAGCCUCUGCAUCGUCCCAUGCCCGACCCCUCUCCUGUUUCGUCGUUGUCUGUUCGCCGUUGAGCAUGCCCGUGGCACUAGCAGCUCUGCUCCUCCAUUGUCGUGUUGGAAGAGCUCUCUAAAGCGCUCCCGAGCCCUCCCCUCGGCUAUAUACAACACCCCCGUCCUCUCCCGCACCUGGCAGCUCCUUCCCUUGCCUCCCACAUCCGUCAGAGUUUGACGUUUCCUCCUGUGUCCAUCGUGGUGGUCAUCGGCCUCGCCAUGAUUCCGGCCAGCCGAGCUCCUCCUCCACCCCUGACCCUCCACUAGCUUCCCCACUCUCCAGCGAACCUCCCCAUCCCCUUGCCCCUCGCCGGAGUGCCCCGGCGACCGUCGUCCCCAAACUUGGUCGCUCCCGCCCGUGCCCUCUUUGGCUGCGAGCCACCGUAACUCCUCCUCAAUGCCCCCAACCAGCCCAGGCGAGUGAGGCGCCCCCUUCUGGACCCGUCGGCAGCCUCGCCCUCGCCGGGGACCACCGGAGUCACCGGAGCCCGGCGUCGGCCGCGCCUAUGCUGGCCUCCCCGGCUUCUGUUGAGAGAAAGAAGAUAGGGAGCAAAAGGAGAGAGAGAGAAGAUGAGUGGGUCCCACACGUCAUCCUCAGCAUUGACUUGGCCCCGGGCCUGCGUGUGAGUAAGUGGAAGUGUACUUUGAAAAAUACGUUUUCUGUUACUGAAAGCGCAUUUUCUUUCUUGUUCGGCCCAAAAGUGUGCUUCUCUCUUCUAAAAGCGUAUUAUCUGAAAUACAUUUUCUGUUUUUCAGCUCAGGGACCUAUUUAUGGAGGAAUAUUUACUGAUUGGUCCCUAUUCUUCUAUCGCUUAUAUCUCUUCAACCAUAACUCCAAUUGAGGUGAGUCCAACGCCUACUUCUUCGUAUCGUCGAGCUCUAUUUGUUGGUAUCAUUUUCACUAGGUGGUCCCACUGUGAAAAUGACCUUGAUACCCUUGCCCUUAUCUAGCCCCUCUUAGAGUAAAGCGUCCAGUGAAUCGUCCCGUGAUCUCACCGCGCCUCUCCCCAGAGUAUCCCGCAACCCGAGGCAAGCCACGACAACUACUUGCAUGAUGGAUUACAAUAUCCAUGGUUUCUACUUAAAUAUUUAAUAAAUGUUUGCUCCUUUAACUGCUGCUAUUGCUGUUUCAGUUAUGCUUGUGGAUUUAUGUUCAUCUUCUUGCUAUGCCCCUAUGCACCUUGUUAGUAUGUGUUACUUGCUAGUAUUAUUCUCAUAUGUCAUGUUGGUUGGGAGUACAGGCUGGUGAUAGUGAUGCUCUUUGAUGCAUUAUUAUCGUCUGUUGUGAAAGUACAAGUGUUAUGUAUGAUCAUCAUGCCAUGUUCAUUUGCACCUACUGGACUAGUGCUUUAUUAUUGUUAUUGCUAAUGAUUCAUAUGGUUAUGUGCUCAUCCAUGUUUAUGUUUAUAUCAUGCUCUUGCGCAUUGUUAUUUCAUCAUGUUAUUAUGACUCAGCAUCAUUUGCAUUCAAUUUUAACAGACUUUAAUUGAACUUGAACACCUGCUGGCUGAGUCAUAGUGCCAUCGAAAUCAAACUGACCAGUGCAACCACAUUUGCCUUAAUGGGAAGGCCCUAAUUGGGUCUAUUGUCAUGCCUCUCGCCGGUGCCUCCAACUUGGGAAGGUUAUGGGUGCACGCUACCCUGAUCAGGUAGGCGGACAUAAACCUUGUGUGCCCGUGUUGGUUUGAGCGCUCUUGUCCCCGUUUGGGACUGUUUUUGUUUUGCCACGACGGUGGCCAUUGGGUGUCACGAGGUGACAUCGGGGCAACCCAUGACUUAGCCCAAAGGGGAGUUUGUCGGAGUGGCCGGAAGAGUGUCAUGACAAUAGGUGAGUUUGGUCGGAACGCCGUUGGUCCACCCGAAUUGGAGGAUGAGGCCUUGGGUUUAGUAGUGUGGGUACAGUGUGCUAACCUCUGCAGAGUGUGUUUAAAUCUAUUGAUAGCUGCGCCCACGGAUAUGGGCCCAGUUCGUAGUAGGUCACACUAUGAGUCAACAGUAAUAAUAACUUGUUUAAUAAUAACCUUGAUUCGAUGAUGAAAGGAGUGGUUGAUUAUUAUGUGAUCGUGAGAGGAUCACAAUGUUAUCAAGGAUACCAAAGAUGGUUGAGGUUUAUGGUACUAUGCGAUAAUCAAGGGUAAAGAUCAAGCUCCUGUGGUCAUGUAAUGGUUACUACAGUAUUGGUAAUACCAAGCUUGAUUUGAUCCCGAGGUGAUCAUGUGAUGACCAUGAUGGUAAGUGAUACAUCUGGUGGUUACGAGGUAACCCUGAACAGAGUAAGUUGGGGCAUGCUAUUGUUAACAUGUUGCAUGCUAGUAUCAUCAUAUGUUCAUGCCAUACUCAUCUGGUAUUGUUCUAGUGCUAUCUUGUUCACCAUGUACAUGCCAUGUUGCUCUAGCUGUAUUAUGUUCAUCCUUGCUAAGUAACCUGUAAAUGCCAUGCUGUUGUUUGUCUUGAUUGCUUUGGUUGCUGUGAGAUUGCAAGUACAUUCAAUGUACUGACCUGGCGUGUCAUGCCAGUUUGAAGUUCAUGCCUUGUCUGCUUGCUUGUUUGCCGAGGAUCUUGAGUUUGCAAACUAGGAUAAACAUUCCAACCAGAGUCCCUGCGAAGUGGAGUCCAUCGUCAUCGUCGCUGUUCCACUGGUAGAAUUUAUUCUGCUGCUAUGAGUUGUUUUGUUGCUUGCAUAGGGUAACCUUGGCAGGCAUAGUAUCGCCGUGCCGAUGUAAUACCUUUGUAUCCAUAUUGAUUGUAAUAAAGAGAUGAUUUG